UACGUAGGGACCGAGCGUUGUCCGGAAUCAUUGGGCGUAAAGAGCGUGUAGGCGGCCUUUUAAGUCCUGCGUGAAAUCCUGCGGCUCAACCGCAGACGGUCGUGGGAAACUGGAAGGCUAGAGUGCGGGAGAGGAGAGUGGAAUUCCCGGUGUAGCGGUGAAAUGCGCAGAUAUCGGGAAGAACACGCGUGGCGAAGGCGGCUCUCUGGAACGCAACUGACGCUGAGACGCGAAAGCGUGGGGAGCAAACAGG
This 253-nucleotide ribosomal RNA is filed under the name uncultured bacterium. Its description in RNAcentral is "partial 16S ribosomal RNA". It matches the Rfam family "Bacterial small subunit ribosomal RNA", at positions 524 to 776 of the family's 1533-position model. The record is from RNAcentral.